Molecule: long non-coding RNA, 836 nt
Organism: Sardina pilchardus (European sardine)
Lineage: Eukaryota; Metazoa; Chordata; Actinopteri; Clupeiformes; Clupeidae
Exons: 3
Source: RefSeq, a predicted model, not a curated record
UAUUCUGAGAUCAGACAAUAAUCCAUGAUUUUCUCUUCCAUUAAGAUAUAGUCAUUAAAUUACACCAAACACCCUAGUCACUCUUCAACAUCUUCAGAACAAGAGAAUACACAAUUUAAAGAAGGAGAAAGUGUAUUGACCUCGGGGUGCCUACAAAUGUGGAGGGCACUGUGGAAGCACAAGCUCUUGUGCAAGCCCCAACAACACCAGGAAGUGCAAACUGCAUGGGUGCUGCUGUUUGUCAAACUCCAAGUUUAGUCUGCAUAUCAUCCUGUUGCAGCUUUUGCCAGUUUCAUGGCUGAUAUUGUAGUAGUGCCAUUUUACACUAACAGAAAUGUGUUAUAUCGGUAGGCUAAGUCAAUUGAAACAGGGUUACUGUUCCACAGGUGUUUUCACAUGUUGUGCCUAUCAUACCUCAUACACCCAGUGAAUCUACACUGAACUAGUAUUUCCAUACAACAUGCAAACAAAUCUGUUAUAAGCAAAUGUUGAGUUCCUGUGCUUUCUUCUGACAAGUUCCUUAGUUACUUCUUCAGAAGAGAAAGAUGUUACUACAUGCAACCAAACAACCCAUUAUGCAGUGGACUCUUUAGACUACCAAUUCAAAUCAAACGGGCACAGGAGGGAGUGAUGUUUAUUACACUGGUCAAUGACUGGACGCUUAAUGUUUCAGUUCAAGACAAAGAGAAACAUGUUGAUGACUUCUAUCACAGUAAAAUUUUCACUUGGGAGACUCACAGGAACGCUAUGCACCUGGAAAAGAUAAGACAUUUAGGGAGUUACGAUGGAGCUCCUGACUGAAGGUCAUUCUCAUGUGUUUUGAUCUGCUUGUUAAA